RNAcentral lists this ribosomal RNA (301 nucleotides) under uncultured bacterium. Its description in RNAcentral is "partial 16S ribosomal RNA". It matches the Rfam family "Bacterial small subunit ribosomal RNA", at positions 512 to 808 of the family's 1533-position model. The record is from RNAcentral.
CAUCGCCGCGGUAAUACGAAGGGUGCAAGCGUUACUCGGAAUUACUGGGCGUAAAGCGUGCGUAGGUGGUGGUUUAAGUCCGUUGUGAAAGCCCUGGGCUCAACCUGGGAAUUGCAGUGGAUACUGGGUCACUAGAGUGUGGUAGAGGAUAGUGGAAUUUCCGGUGUAGCAGUGAAAUGCGUAGAGAUCGGAAGGAACAUCUGUGGCGAAGGCGACUAUCUGGGCCAACACUGACACUGAGGCACGAAAGCGUGGGGAGCAAACAGGAUUAGAUACCCCAGUAGUCCCUGUCUCUUAUACA